This 653-nucleotide ribosomal RNA is filed under the name uncultured Vibrionaceae bacterium. RNAcentral's name for it is "bacterial SSU rRNA". It matches the Rfam family "Bacterial small subunit ribosomal RNA", at positions 8 to 652 of the family's 1533-position model. The record is from RNAcentral. Lineage: Bacteria; Pseudomonadati; Pseudomonadota; Gammaproteobacteria; Vibrionales; Vibrionaceae.
AGAGUUUGAUCAUGGCUCAGAUUGAACGCUGGCGGCAGGCCUAACACAUGCAAGUCGAGCGGAAACGAGAAUAGCUUGCUAUUCGGCGUCGAGCGGCGGACGGGUGAGUAAUGCCUGGGAAAUUGCCCUGAUGUGUGGGAUAACCAUUGGAAACGAUGGCUAAUACCGCAUAAUAGCUUCGGCUUAAAGAGGGGGACCUUCGGGCCUCUCGCUUCAGGAUAUGCCCAGGUGGGAUUAGCUAGUUGGUGAGGUAAAGGCUCACCAAGGCGACGAUCCCUAGCUGGUCUGAGAGGAUGAUCAGCCACACUGGAACUGAGACACGGUCCAGACUCCUACGGGAGGCAGCAGUGGGGAAUAUUGCACAAUGGGCGCAAGCCUGAUGCAGCCAUGCCGCGUGUAUGAAGAAGGCCUUCGGGUUGUAAAGUACUUUCAGCAGUGAGGAAGGGUGUGUAGUUAAUAGCUGCAUACUUUGACGUUAGCUGCAGAGGAAGCACCGGCUAACUCCGUGCCAGCAGCCGCGGUAAUACGGAGGGUGCGAGCGUUAAUCGGAAUUACUGGGCGUAAAGCGCAUGCAGGCGGUUUGUUAAGCAAGAUGUGAAAGCCCGGGGCUUAACCUCGGAAUAGCAUUUUGAACUGGCAAGCUAGAGUCCUGU